UGGCGUGUAGCUCAAUUGGUAGUUAGCACUCGGCUGUUAACCGAGGGGUUGUGGGUUCGAGUCCCACCAUGCCAGCCA
RNAcentral lists this transfer RNA (78 nucleotides) under Caudoviricetes sp. RNAcentral's name for it is "tRNA-Asn". It matches the Rfam family "tRNA". Rfam says of the family: Transfer RNA (tRNA) molecules are approximately 80 nucleotides in length. Their secondary structure includes four short double-helical elements and three loops (D, anti-codon, and T loops). Lineage: Duplodnaviria; Heunggongvirae; Uroviricota; Caudoviricetes. The record is from RNAcentral.